RNAcentral lists this ribosomal RNA (465 nucleotides) under uncultured bacterium. RNAcentral describes it as "partial 16S ribosomal RNA". It matches the Rfam family "Bacterial small subunit ribosomal RNA", at positions 338 to 795 of the family's 1533-position model. The record is from RNAcentral.
CCUACGGGGGGCAGCAGUGGGGAAUAUUGCGCAAUGGGCGAAAGCCUGACGCAGCGACGCCGCGUGAGGGAUGAAGGUCUUCGGAUCGUAACCCUCUGUCAGCAGGGAAGAACGGUCACUGUGCUAAUCAGCAGUGAAUUGACGGUAACUGCAAAGGAAGCACCGGCUAACUCCGGGCCAGCAGCCGCGGUAAUACGGAGGGGGCGAGCGGUAAUCGGAAUUACUGGGCGUAAAGCGCUCGUAGGCGGUAUGUCAAGUCAAGUGUGAAAUCCCCGCGCUCAACGUGGGAACUGCCGUUGAAACUGGCAAGCUGGAGUGUGUGAGAGGUAAGUGGAAGUCCAAGUGUAGGAGUGAAAUCCGUAGAUAUCUGGAGGAACAUCAGUGGCGAAGGCGACUAUCUGGCACAUAACUGACGCUGAGGAGCGAAAGCGUGGGUAGCAAACAGGAUUAGAUACCCCUGUAGUC